AACGAAUUGUAACUGUGAGGUCACUCAGUUGCUGGCGGUGCUCUGUUUGUGCAGUUUUACCACUUUUUCUUUGAAGCUGUUAUUGAGCCAUAUCAACAGACUGCACAGCCGCAGUCCGAACUUUUGGCUGCUAGUGACUAAUUCCUGCUACCACCACAUUAAAAGAAGACACCCGCUAUACUUACGUGAUGAUAUCCAGCCAACUGAUGAAGAAACGGGAGGUCAGACGCCAGUGGAGGGGCUAGACGCAGAUGCACGAUCAUUGGAGGAGAACGGAUCCAGAUUGCUGCUGCUGCAAACCAGUACAACGGACUUUCUACAACCUGUCUCACCUUCAGCUGAGCAAGAUAAUAUUGAUCAGCCACUUCAGAUGUCUGCCUCAAAUGAAGAGGAGCUGAACACAAAACAAGAUGGAACUAUUCCUACUGAAGAAAAAUCUGUGAACACCAUUGUUGCUGGAGUACAGCAGUACCAGUCUUCUCUAAUGGACCACCUCAAGAAGCAGAUGAAGGACGUGCUGAAGAAACAUUCUGGCAAUGCCUCCUCAAGUCAACUGGAAAGGAAUGCCCUGGAUGUAUUUGACCGGUUUGUUGAUCCAUUUGCUGAGGUGGCAACAACCUUUCGACAGGACAGUAUCAUGAAGAAACAUUUGAUUCUUUGGAAGUAGAGGAAAUUCCUAUUGCUCAAAUCAUAUGCAUAAAAAAAGAUGCGAACUACUCUAUCAAGAGCAAACUGUUUUACUAUGUGCUUUUAGUUGAAAGUUUGGAGCAGUUUCUCUCACAUCCCAGGAUUUGGUCAAUGAUUGAUGGUGAGCUUUUCAAGUCACACCCUGUAUUUUCUACCAAACCAGAUACACUGCAGAUAAUUUUGUACACGGAUG
RNAcentral lists this long non-coding RNA (880 nucleotides) under Neogobius melanostomus (round goby). Its description in RNAcentral is "lncRNA (ENSNMLG00000024138.1)". The record is from RNAcentral. Lineage: Eukaryota; Metazoa; Chordata; Actinopteri; Gobiiformes; Gobiidae.